Long non-coding RNA from Brassica napus (rape), 417 nucleotides. RefSeq lists it as uncharacterized. The transcript is spliced from 2 exons. NCBI's taxonomy places the organism in Eukaryota, Viridiplantae, Streptophyta, Magnoliopsida, Brassicales, Brassicaceae. The record is from RefSeq and is a predicted model, not a curated record.
AUCAACAUAUCACCGACUUGUUUUGUGGACAGCUGGGUUACUCCGACUCAGUCGAAUUUGGCCGUAGGAGAUGUCUUCACUAACCUCCGUCGAAUUGAAUUUUCUGAUAUUCCGAUAUCUUCAGGAAUCAGGGUUGACACACGCUGCAUUCACACUAGGUUACGAGGCAGGGAUUAAUAAAUGCAAAAUCUAUGGGAAUAUGGUUCCACCUGGUGCUCUUGUCAAGUUUGUUCAGAAAGGUCUCCACUACAUUGAGAUGGAAGCUAAUUUGAGCAGUGUAAUAGUUACUCUUUUUUCUUUAUCUCUUGUGGUUCCUUUACAGUCUUAGACUGAGCUAUGUUUUCACUAGAAGAAAACAGACGGAUACUGACGGACAAAAUCGUCACAAGUUCAUCGGAAUAGAGACAAUUUGACGAA